Long non-coding RNA from Cotesia glomerata, 82 nucleotides. RefSeq lists it as uncharacterized. The transcript is spliced from 2 exons. NCBI's taxonomy places the organism in Eukaryota, Metazoa, Arthropoda, Insecta, Hymenoptera, Braconidae. The record is from RefSeq and is a predicted model, not a curated record.
UUAAACUACAUCCAUCUGUGUCCGGGAUAAUAAUUGGACUUUUAGUACCCGGACUGGCCACCAGGCGGCGCCAUUUUACUUU